CAGCCGCCGCGGUAAAACAGAGGGUGCGAGCGUUAAUCGGAUUUACUGGGCGUAAAGCGUGCGUAGGCGGCUUCUUAAGUCGGAUGUGAAAUCCCUGAGCUUAACUUAGGAAUUGCAUUCGAUACUGGGAAGCUAGAGUAUGGGAGAGGAUGGUAGAAUUCCAGGUGUAGCGGUGAAAUGCGUAGAGAUCUGGAGGAAUACCGAUGGCGAAGGCAGCCAUCUGGCCUAAUACUGACGCUGAGGUACGAAAGCAUGGGGAGCAAACAGGAUUAGAUACCCGUGUAGUCCCUGUCUCUUAUAC
This 301-nucleotide ribosomal RNA is filed under the name uncultured bacterium. Its description in RNAcentral is "partial 16S ribosomal RNA". It matches the Rfam family "Bacterial small subunit ribosomal RNA", at positions 509 to 807 of the family's 1533-position model. The record is from RNAcentral.